RNAcentral lists this ribosomal RNA (583 nucleotides) under uncultured Acanthostigma. RNAcentral describes it as "eukaryotic LSU rRNA". The stretch from base 194 to 347 matches the Rfam family "5.8S ribosomal RNA". The record is from RNAcentral. Lineage: Eukaryota; Fungi; Ascomycota; Dothideomycetes; Tubeufiales; Tubeufiaceae.
UCCGUAGGUGAACCUGCGGAAGGAUCAUUACUGAGUACCGGGUCUCUCAGGCCCUUACUCCCACCCUUUUGUGUACCUUACCAUUACUUCAGUUGCCUUGGUAGGCUUCCUCUCUUCGGGGGGAACCUGCCAGGGGGACUCACCUAAAACUCUUAUGAAUUGAGUCGUCUGAGAACAACUUCAAAUAAGUUAAAACUUUCAACAACGGAUCUCUUGGUUCUGGCAUCGAUGAAGAACGCAGCGAAAUGCGAUAAGUAAUGUGAAUUGCAGAAUUCAGUGAAUCAUCGAAUCUUUGAACGCACAUUGCGCCCCUUGGUAUUCCGAGGGGCAUGCCUGUUCGAGCGUCAUUUCAAACCCUCAAGCUUCGGCUUGGUAUUGGGCUCUCGUCCGUUCUCUUCCGGGAGAAGGACGUGCCUGAAACUCAUAGGCGGUUGUGUUCAGCUCCCUAGCGUAGUCAUAAUAACAUCGCUAUCGGAAGUCUUCUGGACGCGACCCGCCCGAGAAACCUCAAUUUUUUUCUCAGGUUUGACCUCGGAUCAGGUAGGGAUACCCGCUGAACUUAAGCAUAUCAAUAAGCGGAGGA